GACGAACGCUGGCGGCGUGCCUAAUACAUGCAAGUCGAGCGAAUGACGAGGAGCUUGCUCCUCUGAUUUAGCGGCGGACGGGUGAGUAACACGUGGGCAACCUGCCCUGCAGACUGGGAUAACUUCGGGAAACCGGAGCUAAUACCGGAUAAUCCAUUUUACUUCAUGGUGAAAUGUUGAAAGGCGCUUUCGCGCCACUGCAGGAUGGGCCCGCGGUGCAUUAGCUAGUUGGUGGGGUAACGGCCUACCAAGGCGACGAUGCAUAGCCGACCUGAGAGGGUGAUCGGCCACAUUGGGACUGAGACACGGCCCAAACUCCUACGGGAGGCAGCAGUAGGGAAUCUUCCACAAUGGACGAAAGUCUGAUGGAGCAACGCCGCGUGAGUGAUGAAGGUUUUCGGAUCGUAAAACUCUGUUGUAAGGGAAGAACAAGUACGUUAGGAAAUGAACGUACCUUGACGGUACCUUAUUAGAAAGCCACGGCUAACUACGUGCCAGCCGCCGCCGUAACAC
This 513-nucleotide ribosomal RNA is filed under the name uncultured bacterium. Its description in RNAcentral is "bacterial SSU rRNA". It matches the Rfam family "Bacterial small subunit ribosomal RNA", at positions 28 to 526 of the family's 1533-position model. The record is from RNAcentral.